RNAcentral lists this long non-coding RNA (1304 nucleotides) under Phoenix dactylifera (date palm). RNAcentral's name for it is "long non-coding RNA (PDAC_LNC008876)". Lineage: Eukaryota; Viridiplantae; Streptophyta; Magnoliopsida; Arecales; Arecaceae. The record is from RNAcentral.
UUUCUUCCUCUCCCAUGGCAGCAAGGAAAUUUCCUUUCCUCCUCUUCCAACGCAAGCAAGCAAGGUAGAAGAAGAAAUAGUUUCAUCUUCAAGGAGCAAGGAUUGGUUGCUGUUCUUCUUCCUUUCUUCUAGGACAAUCAAGAGAGAUCUCUGCAAGGAGCUAGCACCUCGGUGAGAUCCUAUUCUCUGAUUUUCAGAUUCUCGUGUGGAUACUUAUAGAGGCUAUACACGUGUGCGGCUACAAGGAGAACCUAUACAACAAUCAUCAGAUUGCGGCGAGCUUCUACCCGCACAAAGGUGAAGAUGAGAUCUUUACUUCUGAUUUUUGUUUUUGAUUUUUGUGAUCAAGUUUUAAUCUUAAUCUCCUCUCCCCUAUGGAUUCAAAGAGAUCUUCUGGAUUACUGAAUCCAGAAUUUUCUUUGAAUUCAACGACCCGUGGCAAGAUUAUGUGAUGAACGACGCCCCGUGCUGAUGAUGGAUGCAAGGAAGAUGUAAGAAAGAUAACUACAUCUUCUUUGAAAGAGUCUCACCUUCGCUCAAGAACUCGUGUUGGCAUGAAGGAGAAGGAGUCUCAUGAUGUGACUCAUCAAGAGGAACAAGCUGACUCAAGUAUAUCAAGUGAUCCUUUGCACAUUCCAAGUGGGUCUAUUACAAGGUCCCAGGCUAAAAGACUUAGAGAAGCUCUGAUUGGACUUGUUCAAAACAUAUGGGUUAGGCAAGCUUCGAGUGGAUCUACAGAUAUAAAGCUAGGCUUGAGCAAUUCACAAGAAGUCAUCAAUAUCAUUCAAGUAGAAUAUGGAAGCUGUUGAUGACACUUGGGCCAAAUCUACCGUAAAUGAAGAAGUCUUGCUGAAUUUCAUACAUGGCUGAUUCAUUUGAACCUGGACUUCAUUAAUUUGAGCUCAACAUGGUGUUUUUAUCUUCAUAUAGGCUGCAUGAAUUUAUAAAGACUUUUCAUCAUUUGAAAGUUCUCAUUAGUUGCUUUGUCUUUUCCAUAAUUGGAGGGAUGUUCCAAGGUAGUUAAUUAAUGCUUUGUGUUUUGCAUGCUUGGAAGGGUGUUCCAAGGUAGUUAAUUAAUGUUUUGUGUUUUCCAUGCUUGGAGGGGUGUUCCAAGACUAGUAUUUAUAUUUGAGGUCAUGUAGAGAAUGAAAAACGAUGAGUUUGUUCUAAAUUUUAGAUUUGAGAGAAGCUUUCUCUUAUGUUCUUCAUUGAACUGCCUAAACCUAUCAAGGAUUGAUCAACUUUGUGGCGUUUCAGCACUUUGGGUCCUUGUUUCAUCAAAUUCAAGGGUACUAGGGGAUCAU